UGAGGAUGAGGAUGAGGAUGACGACGUGUGUUUGGGGUUUGGCGGCCUGUCUCGUUGCGGCGGUGGUGUUCGGUCCUGGGUGUGCCCCGU
RNAcentral lists this non-coding RNA (90 nucleotides) under Chloropicon primus. The record is from RNAcentral. Lineage: Eukaryota; Viridiplantae; Chlorophyta; Chloropicophyceae; Chloropicales; Chloropicaceae.